AAUAAUUAAACUUAUGCCAUUUUCACAUUUCAGGUAAUGAGAGGCCCUGAGAUCCCAGAGGGACCAUAUGAGAAUUCUGGACAGUGCUGAAGACUCUUACUUCCUGCAGACACAAGAGGAGACAGGACCAGAGGGUACGCCACCAAGGAAGGCCACCCAGCUGUGUGUGUCAGACCCAUUGCUCAAGGGAGACAGGUUGAAAGAGGCAGUAGGGAAGACAGGACAGUAAAGAGAGGAAAAGGAACCAAGGAAAUGAGGACGAGGAUGACCCGGCAGAUCGGGCAGGGGGCCAGGAGGAACUCCCGAGUGCCUUCUCAUCUUAGCCUCGGUGACAGUGUGGCGUGCCCCCUGACCUCUCCUCCUUUCUCCUCUGGACUAAGCGAUGACAUGAAGGGACGUGGCAAUAAGGAAAUUAUCCUCGCCUGAACAUGAAAAAGCCAAGUGUGGUGGAUGAGCCAGCUCACUGAGCCACAGAACAUGAGAUGGUGCCAGAAUGGCAAUAGUAACUCUCUCCAUGUAUCAUAGUAAGUUCUUGGGAGUAAGGAAAUCGGUGGAAAAUCUGUUGCUGGGUCUCAAACAGAUUCAUU
This 587-nucleotide long non-coding RNA is filed under the name Camelus dromedarius (Arabian camel). Its description in RNAcentral is "lncRNA (ENSCDRG00005013305.1)". Lineage: Eukaryota; Metazoa; Chordata; Mammalia; Artiodactyla; Camelidae. The record is from RNAcentral.